This is a long non-coding RNA of Molossus molossus (Pallas's mastiff bat), 430 nucleotides long. RefSeq lists it as uncharacterized. The transcript is spliced from 3 exons. Lineage: Eukaryota; Metazoa; Chordata; Mammalia; Chiroptera; Molossidae. The record is from RefSeq and is a predicted model, not a curated record.
GGAAAUUCUGACUUCUGUCCUUUCCAGCAGACCUCAUUAUCCAAGAACAGUCAUUGAAUAGUUCAUUGACACCUUCUCAACCAGGAAGGCUGUGUUCUCAGCGCUGCUAUGAAAGUGGAGAAGAUGGACAAGAUAGUUUCUCUUGGGAAGCUGAGACUAUGGGGCAAGCAGACACUCAGAUGACCAGCAGAGAGCUUCUCACUACCAGUCUCCAGCUGCCUGUCUCUGGUGGAAGAAGGAGACUGUUUCCAGAAGCCCAGAGCUUCUAUCACAGAGAUGCUCUUUGAUGGGGACCAGGCUGGAGUUCCAGUGGCCAGAUUGGCUACAACGAGAAACUGUCCUGUGGGCGGGCCCUGUGCUCAGUGCUCACCACCAGCAGGGCUUCCAGGCGCUGCAUGUGGACAAGGGGAGUUUGGACAGGACCUCCCAG